Molecule: ribosomal RNA, 528 nt
Filed under: Enterococcus faecalis
Lineage: Bacteria; Bacillati; Bacillota; Bacilli; Lactobacillales; Enterococcaceae
Description: bacterial SSU rRNA
Rfam family: Bacterial small subunit ribosomal RNA
Source: RNAcentral
CGAGCCGCUGGCGGCGUGCCUAAUACAUGCAAGUCGAACGCUUCUUUCCUCCCGAGUGCUUGCACUCAAUUGGAAAGAGGAGUGGCGGACGGGUGAGUAACACGUGGGUAACCUACCCAUCAGAGGGGGAUAACACUUGGAAACAGGUGCUAAUACCGCAUAACAGUUUAUGCCGCAUGGCAUAAGAGUGAAAGGCGCUUUCGGGUGUCGCUGAUGGAUGGACCCGCGGUGCAUUAGCUAGUUGGUGAGGUAACGGCUCACCAAGGCCACGAUGCAUAGCCGACCUGAGAGGGUGAUCGGCCACACUGGGACUGAGACACGGCCCAGACUCCUACGGGAGGCAGCAGUAGGGAAUCUUCGGCAAUGGACGAAAGUCUGACCGAGCAACGCCGCGUGAGUGAAGAAGGUUUUCGGAUCGUAAAACUCUGUUGUUAGAGAAGAACAAGGACGUUAGUAACUGAACGUCCCCUGACGGUAUCUAACCAGAAAGCCCACGGCUAACUACGUGCCAGCAGCCGCGUUAAAUAA